UAUUAUAUAAGGGUGUGAGAUGCACAUUAGUUUUUGAUAUUAAAGGCGAUAGUUUGAUUCUAUCUUAUAUAA
RNAcentral lists this transfer RNA (72 nucleotides) under Angaracris barabensis. RNAcentral describes it as "tRNA-Gln". It matches the Rfam family "tRNA". From Rfam's summary of the family: Transfer RNA (tRNA) molecules are approximately 80 nucleotides in length. Their secondary structure includes four short double-helical elements and three loops (D, anti-codon, and T loops). Further hydrogen bonds mediate the characteristic L-shaped molecular structure. tRNAs have two regions of fundamental functional importance: the anti-codon, which is responsible for specific mRNA codon recognition, and the 3' end, to which the tRNAs corresponding amino acid is attached (by aminoacyl-tRNA synthetases). tRNAs cope with the degeneracy of the genetic code in two manners: having more than one tRNA (with a specific anti-codon) for a particular amino acid; and 'wobble' base-pairing, i.e. permitting non-standard base-pairing at the 3rd anti-codon position. The record is from RNAcentral. Lineage: Eukaryota; Metazoa; Arthropoda; Insecta; Orthoptera; Acrididae.